GGGCAUACUUCGACGUCUGUAAUUAUUGGACUUGUUUUUGCAUCACUGGUAAUAUUGAUACUAAUAAUUAUCAUCAUCGUCCUUUAUCGUCGAAAGCGAGUUAUCAUUGUACAAGAAAAUGAGCCUGAACACGUUUACGAAACUCCUAGUGCAGUGGUGUAUGCCAAAUUGGCUAUACCACGAAACGACCAAUCGCCGCGGAAAGAAAUAAAAUGUGCAGAACCAUACGCCGUCACUACCUUACCACCGCAUCGUUAUGCCUACUUUUAAACGUAACUCAAUCUAAUAGGGAGCACCGAUUGAAUGGCUUAUCAGUGUUGCCCUCUGGGUAAAUUUUCACUGAACCCUGGCCUUUUUUGGUGAAUUGCGGCACCCAUAUACCUUUAUGUUUUCCAACUAAAUAUUAAUGUGAGUAUAUUUUAAUGUUAUAAAUUAUAAUGUGUGUCGUAGGUUUCACCUGAAUAAACUUUAUUAUUAUU
Molecule: long non-coding RNA, 479 nt
Organism: Pectinophora gossypiella (pink bollworm)
Lineage: Eukaryota; Metazoa; Arthropoda; Insecta; Lepidoptera; Gelechiidae
Exons: 2
Source: RefSeq, a predicted model, not a curated record